RNA transcript from Propithecus coquereli (Coquerel's sifaka), 519 nucleotides. It is a transcript of the gene named casein kinase I isoform delta-A pseudogene, with no coding region annotated. The transcript has a single exon. NCBI's taxonomy places the organism in Eukaryota, Metazoa, Chordata, Mammalia, Primates, Indriidae. The record is from RefSeq and is a predicted model, not a curated record.
GUGCCAACAUUGCCUCUGGUGAAGAAGUUGUUAUCAAGCUCUAGUGUGUGAAAACAAAGCACCCCCCAGCUGCAUAUUGAGAGCAAGUUCUACAAGAUGAUGCCAAGAGGAAAGGGGAUCCUGUUCAUCAAGUGGUGUGGAGCCGAGGGCAACUACAACGUGAUGGUCAUGGAGCUGCUAGGGCCCAGCCUCAAGGACCUCUUCAAUUUUUGUUCCCAAAAGCUCAGCCUCAGGAGGGUGCUGCUCCUGGCCAACCAGAUGAUCAGCCACAUAGAGUACAUGCACUCCAAGAACUGCAUCGACCAGGAUGUAAAGCCUGACAACUUCCUCAUGGGGCUAGGGAAGAAGGGCAACCUGGUGUACAUCAUCACCUUUGGCCUGGCCAAGAAGUACCAGGAUAUCCACACCCACCAGCACAUCCUCUAUCAGGAAAACAAGAACCUGAUUGGCACUGGCUGCUAUCAUGCCAUCAACACCCACCUGGGCAUUGAGCAAAGCCAUUGAGAUGACAUGGAGUCU